CUUGAAAGAGAUAUAGACAGACUCAUAAAGACGUGGUCCUCUUGGCUGAGGUGCUGGAGUCAAAGACAAAACAGGGAAUUGUUGGAAAAGUUCAAGCCUGGCUGGGCCAGGUGCGCCACACUCCUGUCUUCUGAGCAAACUCGAAGACCUCUCUGAGGCUGAGCUAACUCGCCUAAGUGCAUAGACCUGGGUCUAAUAGGCUACACCUCCGCCACUAGUCCGUGACUCCUUCGCCUCGCCCAAGAAGAAUCACCCCACCAUAUGUCUAGCCAAUAAGAUAUGGCCCGAUGUUCUCCACUAAUGUAUGAAUCUGCAUAACCUAUAAGAAAGUGCCAUGUAAUCAAAUGCUCCUCCCAUGCUCCUCCCCCACGGUGGGGGGGCACACAGAAGCUAUAUAAGCCUGUGCAUUUCCUAAAUAAAGCGGAAGCGUUUCAGAAACCUGCCCCGAGUCUGCCUGCUGAUUCUGCACCACAACGUGGGCCUCAUGUAUACUGGCGUCGGCCCCUCCCUUGGACACCCCACUUCCUGCCACUGACAAGCCUCCACCAAAAGCCCCGCGUCACCGGAAGCAACACCACCCCGAUGAACCUGCCUUUUCCGGGCCCCCACCAUGCGCGCCGCCACCUUACCGAUCUCAUGAUUCCUCAAGCUCCAAGGAAGCAGGGAGAUGUGGCCGUGAGAGGGAGGCCCAGCGAUGAAACCCCUGGGCAGAAGCCGUGUGAGCCCCA
RNAcentral lists this long non-coding RNA (728 nucleotides) under Fukomys damarensis (Damara mole-rat). RNAcentral describes it as "lncRNA (ENSFDAG00000024045.1)". Lineage: Eukaryota; Metazoa; Chordata; Mammalia; Rodentia; Bathyergidae. The record is from RNAcentral.